AUUGAACGCUGGCGGCAGGCCUAACACAUGCAAGUCGAGCGGAUGAAGGGAGCUUGCUCCUGGAUUCAGCGGCGGACGGGUGAGUAAUGCCUAGGAAUCUGCCUGGUAGUGGGGGGUAACGUCCGGAGACGGGCGCUAAUACCGCAUACGUCCUGAGGGAGAAAGUGGGGGAUCUUCGGACCUCACGCUAUCAGAUGAGCCUAGGUCGGAUUAGCUAGUUGGUGGGGUAAAGGCCUACCAAGGCGACGAUCCGUAACUGGUCUGAGAGGAUGAUCAGUCACACUGGAACUGAGACACGGUCCAGACUCCUACGGGAGGCAGCAGUGGGGAAUAUUGGACAAUGGGCGAAAGCCUGAUCCAGCCAUGCCGCGUGUGUGAAGAAGGUCUUCGGAUUGUAAAGCACUUUAAGUUGGGAGGAAGGGCAGUAAGUUAAUACCUUGCUGUUUUGACGUUACCAACAGAAUAAGCACCGGCUAACUUCGUG
Molecule: ribosomal RNA, 484 nt
Filed under: uncultured bacterium
Lineage: Bacteria
Description: partial 16S ribosomal RNA
Rfam family: Bacterial small subunit ribosomal RNA
Source: RNAcentral